This 466-nucleotide ribosomal RNA is filed under the name uncultured bacterium. RNAcentral's name for it is "partial 16S ribosomal RNA". It matches the Rfam family "Bacterial small subunit ribosomal RNA", at positions 29 to 506 of the family's 1533-position model. The record is from RNAcentral.
ACGAACGCUGGCGGCGUGCUUAACACAUGCAAGUCGAACGGAAAGGCCCUGCUUUUGUGGGGUGCUCGAGUGGCGAACGGGUGAGUAACACGUGAGUAACCUGCCCUUGACUUUGGGAUAACUUCAGGAAACUGGGGCUAAUACCGGAUAGGAGCUCCUGCUGCAUGGUGGGGGUUGGAAAGUUUCGGCGGUUGGGGAUGGACUCGCGGCUUAUCAGCUUGUUGGUGGGGUAGUGGCUUACCAAGGCUUUGACGGGUAGCCGGCCUGAGAGGGUGACCGGCCACAUUGGGACUGAGAUACGGCCCAGACUCCUACGGGAGGCAGCAGUAGGGAAUAUUGCACAAUGGGCGGAAGCCUGAUGCAGCAACGCCGCGUGCGGGAUGACGGCCUUCGGGUUGUAAACCGCUUUCGCCUGUGACGAAGCGUGAGUGACGGUAAUGGGUAAAGAAGCACCGGCUAACUACGU